RNAcentral lists this ribosomal RNA (667 nucleotides) under Pseudomonas sp. DH24-2. Its description in RNAcentral is "bacterial SSU rRNA". It matches the Rfam family "Bacterial small subunit ribosomal RNA", at positions 119 to 781 of the family's 1533-position model. The record is from RNAcentral. Lineage: Bacteria; Pseudomonadati; Pseudomonadota; Gammaproteobacteria; Pseudomonadales; Pseudomonadaceae.
AGGAAUCUGCCUGGGUAGUGGGGGACAACGUUUCGAAAGGAACGCUAAUACCGCAUACGUCCUACGGGAGAAAGCAGGGGACCUUCGGGCCUUGCGCUAUCAGAUGAGCCUAGGUCGGAUUAGCUAGUUGGUGGGGUAAUGGCUCACCAAGGCGACGAUCCGUAACUGGUCUGAGAGGAUGAUCAGUCACACUGGAACUGAGACACGGUCCAGACUCCUACGGGAGGCAGCAGUGGGGAAUAUUGGACAAUGGGCGAAAGCCUGAUCCAGCCAUGCCGCGUGUGUGAAGAAGGUCUUCGGAUUGUAAAGCACUUUAAGUUGGGAGGAAGGGCAGUAAGCUAAUACCUUGCUGUUUUGACGUUACCGACAGAAUAAGCACCGGCUAACUCUGUGCCAGCAGCCGCGGUAAUACAGAGGGUGCAAGCGUUAAUCGGAAUUACUGGGCGUAAAGCGCGCGUAGGUGGUUUGUUAAGUUGGAUGUGAAAGCCCCGGGCUCAACCUGGGAACUGCAUCCAAAACUGGCAAGCUAGAGUACGGUAGAGGGUGGUGGAAUUUCCUGUGUAGCGGUGAAAUGCGUAGAUAUAGGAAGGAACACCAGUGGCGAAGGCGACCACCUGGACUGAUACUGACACUGAGGUGCGAAAGCGUGGGGAGCAAACAGGAUUAG